Molecule: ribosomal RNA, 558 nt
Filed under: uncultured bacterium
Lineage: Bacteria
Description: bacterial SSU rRNA
Rfam family: Bacterial small subunit ribosomal RNA
Source: RNAcentral
CGCUGGCGGCGGCUUAAACAUGCAAGUCGAGCGGGCGUAGCAAUACGUCAGCGGCAGACGGGUGAGUAACGCGUGGGAACGUACCUUUUGGUUCGGAACAACCCAGGGAAACUUGGGCUAAUACCGGAUAAGCCCUCACGGGGAAAGAUUUAUCGCCGAAAGAUCGGCCCGCGUCUGAUUAGCUAGUUGGUGAGGUAAUGGCCCACCAAGGCGACGAUCAGUAGCUGGUCUGAGAGGAUGAUCAGCCACAUUGGGACUGAGACACGGCCCAAACUCCUACGGGAGGCAGCAGUGGGGAAUAUUGGACAAUGGGCGCAAGCCUGAUCCAGCCAUGCCGCGUGAGUGAUGAAGGCCCUAGGGUUGUAAAGCUCUUUUGUGCGGGAAGAUAAUGACGGUACCGCAAGAAUAAGCCCCGGCUAACUUCGUGCCAGCAGCCGCGGUAAUACGAAGGGGGCUAGCGUUGCUCGGAAUCACUGGGCGUAAAGGGUGCGUANGCGGGUCUUUAAGUCAGGGGUGAAAUCCUGGAGCUCAACUCCAGAACUGCCUUUGAUACUGAAG